Molecule: ribosomal RNA, 405 nt
Filed under: Escherichia coli
Lineage: Bacteria; Pseudomonadati; Pseudomonadota; Gammaproteobacteria; Enterobacterales; Enterobacteriaceae
Also listed under: 1 other name
Description: partial 23S ribosomal RNA
Rfam family: Bacterial large subunit ribosomal RNA
Source: RNAcentral
GUUGAAAAAUUAGCGGAUGACUUGUGGCUGGGGGUGAAAGGCCAAUCAAACCGGGAGAUAGCUGGUUCUCCCCGAAAGCUAUUUAGGUAGCGCCUCGUGAAUUCAUCUCCGGGGGUAGAGCACUGUUUCGGCAAGGGGGUCAUCCCGACUUACCAACCCGAUGCAAACUGCGAAUACCGGAGAAUGUUAUCACGGGAGACACACGGCGGGUGCUAACGUCCGUCGUGAAGAGGGAAACAACCCAGACCGCCAGCUAAGGUCCCAAAGUCAUGGUUAAGUGGGAAACGAUGUGGGAAGGCCCAGACAGCCAGGAUGUUGGCUUAGAAGCAGCCAUCAUUUAAAGAAAGCGUAAUAGCUCACUGGUCGAGUCGGCCUGCGCGGAAGAUGUAACGGGGCUAAACCAUG